GAGUGGCGCACGGGUGCGUAACACGUAUGUAACCUACCUUUAUCAGGGGGAUAGCCUCUCGAAAGAGAGAUUAAGCCCGCAUAACAUCACGACAUAGCAUUAUGAUGUGAUCAAAUAUUUAUAGGAUAAAGAUGGGCAUGCGGAACAUUAGCUAGUUGGUAAGGUAAAGGCUUACCAAGGCUACGAUGUUUAGGGGAUCUGAGAGGAUGACCCCCCACACUGGUACUGAGACACGGACCAGACUCCUACGGGAGGCAGCAGUAAGGAAUAUUGGUCAAUGGGCGGAAGCCUGAACCAGCCAUGCCGCGUGCAGGAAGACGGCCCUACGGGUUGUAAACUGCUUUUGCAGGGGAAUAAACCUCGUUACGUGUAACGAGUUGAAUGUACUCUGAGAAUAAGGAUCGGCUAACUCCGUGCCAGCAGCCGCGGUAAUACGGAGGAUCCAAGCGUUAUCCGGAUUUAUUGGGUUUAAAGGGUGCGUAGGCGGCCUAUUAAGUCAGGGGUGAAAGACGGUAGCUUAACUAUCGCAGUGCCUUUGAUACUGAUGGGCUUGAAUGUAGUUGAGGUAGGCGGAAUGUGACAAGUAGCGGUGAAAUGCAUAGAUAUGUCACAGAACACCAAUUGCGAAGGCAGCUUACUAAAGUAUGAU
RNAcentral lists this ribosomal RNA (649 nucleotides) under uncultured bacterium. Its description in RNAcentral is "bacterial SSU rRNA". It matches the Rfam family "Bacterial small subunit ribosomal RNA", at positions 93 to 740 of the family's 1533-position model. The record is from RNAcentral.